UACGGGGGGGGCAAGCGUUGUUCGGAAUUACUGGGCGUAAAGGGCUCGUAGGCGGCCAACUAAGUCAGACGUGAAAUCCCUCGGCUUAACCGGGGAACUGCAUCUGAUACUGGAUGGCUUGAGAUUGGGAGAGGGAUGCGGAAUUCCAGGUGUAGCGGUGAAAUGCGUAGAUAUCUGGAGGACCACCGGUGGCGAAGGCGGCAGCCUGGACCAAAACUGACACUGAUGAGCGAAAGCCAGGGGAGCAAACGGG
This 253-nucleotide ribosomal RNA is filed under the name uncultured bacterium. RNAcentral's name for it is "partial 16S ribosomal RNA". It matches the Rfam family "Bacterial small subunit ribosomal RNA", at positions 524 to 776 of the family's 1533-position model. The record is from RNAcentral.